GGAGAGAAAGGAGAAUAACACACUUUCUUCACUUUAGCCUCUUCUCAAAACAUUCAGUAGGGAGCUAGUACAAGAAAAAGAAAAAUGGUAUUUAUGACUUGAAAUCCUACAUGGCUCUCCAUGCCAACGCAAUGCAGAGAUCCCACAGUCUGACCUGCUGAAAUAGCCGUCUAGCUUUCAGGGGCCGCAGACUAAUAGCUCCCAGAGGGCAAAGCUGUGAUUAUGCCAACAGCCGUCAAGAGGAACCAUCUGGAAAAUUCCACUCAUUCUGCUACAUGGCUGAGUUGUGGCAGCAGAUCCCGCCCCUCUCCACACCCAGUUAUGAAGGAAACAUGAAUAGUAGUGCAGAAAGUCAGUUUCCAGCAUGCUGCAGAGCUGACCCUGAAAAAUACAUUUCUUUCUUGGAUCCAUUCCCUUGUCCAAAUCCCUUGAUCAUGAGCCAACUGCCUGUGAUUUGAUACUUUUCUACCCAACUCAUCUCAGUGGGAGAACAAAGGACAAAGUUUAGACACUUGGGGGAUGCUGUGAGUGCCCUGCCCACAUCCCCUGAGGGCAUUCUCUGAGGAGCUAGAGCUGGCCCCAGUCGCAACCUCAACCAAUGAGGAACAAGGGCGCUGGAUAGAUGUGCCUUGUGCCUCAAGUCAAUAUGAUAACUAAGAGGCAAGUCCUACACAGUCUCUUAGGGGUCUCCAGGGGCACGGAGCUUCAGCUGCCCAGAGCAGUGCCCUUUAUGGAUUUUCUUCCUUUCUCUGUCUUACUUCCCCCUUCCUUCACCACACUUCCUGGAAUCACGUUCCAAAUAAACUACUUCCACCCAAA
Long non-coding RNA from Myotis lucifugus (little brown bat), 819 nucleotides. RefSeq lists it as uncharacterized. NCBI's taxonomy places the organism in Eukaryota, Metazoa, Chordata, Mammalia, Chiroptera, Vespertilionidae. The transcript is spliced from 2 exons. The record is from RefSeq and is a predicted model, not a curated record.